RNAcentral lists this transfer RNA (65 nucleotides) under Fischoederius elongatus. RNAcentral's name for it is "tRNA-Tyr". The record is from RNAcentral. Lineage: Eukaryota; Metazoa; Platyhelminthes; Trematoda; Plagiorchiida; Gastrothylacidae.
CAGCUUAGUAUAGAUAUGGUAGUACGUGAGAUUGUAAAUUUCAAGGUGAGAUACUUCAGUUGAAA